Molecule: long non-coding RNA, 1771 nt
Filed under: Citrus sinensis (sweet orange)
Lineage: Eukaryota; Viridiplantae; Streptophyta; Magnoliopsida; Sapindales; Rutaceae
Description: long non-coding RNA (CSIN_LNC003410)
Source: RNAcentral
CUGAAACCGCGUGCGUUUUUGGAAAAUGAGAUCCGUGGCGUCGGGAAUCUCCAGCUUUAGACAUGUAUGUCUCGUCAUCUCCAUUUUUUUUCUCAGUUCCUUCUUCUAGAAGCCCCAGGCGCAAGUGCAGAAAUCUUCCCACCUUUACAAGUUGUUUGUUUUGAACUUUUUGCACAUGCAUAAAUAAAUAUGAGGAUAUGACCAUGUCUAUGAAAAUUGAAAAUGAAUAAUUAUUUUUUAAAGAUAAAAAAAUAAAGUAUUGACUUUUUAUUAAUUUGACACAUAGGCAUAUUAAGUGAUAUUAGAAAUCUAAGGCCUAAAUUUUGAUAAGGUUGUCCAGCAGCCAAUAGAGCCAGGUAUGGAAAAUGUUUCUUAUGCACAGGCUGCAGGAAGUAUCAUGCAUCAUAUAGAGUGCUUUUCUAGGGUAAAAUGGUUUGAGUGCAUAUGGUGGGAGAAGCCAACAAAUGGAAAAAAAAAAUAGGUUGGUGGGAUUCUCGGAUUACUGAAUCCCGAACCAGACAAUUCCCCUGUAUACAUAUAUAUAAGUUAUAUAAAUUGUAAGAAAGUCUUACAAAAUACAAGCGUAGUACAUACUAUAUUAUUAUCGAUGAUUUUACUAGUGCUCAUUUUCUACGGGAAGCAUAUCCCUAGCUUCUAGGUCCUCCCACAACAUCCAAUAUAGAAAUGCAAUAAUUUAUUUUGUGUCAAAAGUGGAACCCAUAUAAUGUAUGGGUUAGAUCCAUGUAAUGUAUUCAAUGCAUUACACAUAAUAUAGUUUUGUGUUAUUACAAGAAAACGUCUAUCUCCGCAUGGUUCAUGAAAACUUGCAAUGUUAUACUCGAAGGCCCACCAAAGAUUUUGCUUCACAAUCUUCAUGGUUAGCCUAGUCAACUCCAAAGCAAUAAGUAACUGCGUAGAGGUGAGAAACUAAGUUCUUCCGAGAAAUAUACAAGGGAGUACUGGAAAAAGAAUGAAAGAAGUAGUCUCCAUAGUCUCUAUCUAUCAUAUCAAUAAAUAAUAAAAGAAAGUUUGAAAACAAGACCCGGACAACAAACAAACCCGACUCGGACAACAGUGACUCGACCCAGAUGGAUCUCGCGUUUCCGGCCAUUUCACCGGCCAAUGGAGGUACUGAUCGGAAGCUUGAGCUACGCUGGUCGUUUGUCUGUCGUCAACGCUGUUGUAAAUUGACCACAAGACGUUGAUCGAGCACGCGAAACAGCAGCAACAACCUUCUCAUGGACCUGUUACGCCGGUUUCCGUCAUCGCCACCACCUAGAUUUAGUUCCCUACGAUUCUCUCUUCAUUUUCGGACCAACCCCAAGGACCAAGCUGGCCGUUUUCGCCAUCGAUCAGCCGUUGGAUAUUCACGAAUUUAGGAGUUCGAUCUACCACUGUAACCGCGCGUGGGAGUCUACCGCCACCAUAAUUGGACUUAGCGUUGCUUGAAGGGUCUAACCUGAGCUUCCCAACCACCGAGCUUGUGAAGAUAGCUCAUUAUGGAGAAAGAAGCAAUGGAAAGCAGAAGAAGAAAAAGCCUAAGCUGAAGCAUGAUACAGAGUAUAGUAGCAGCUCAGUUGCCAGCUCAGCAUAGUUAGUUUCAGUUCGUUAGAAGUACAAAAUGUGUUGUGAUGCGUAUUAGCUAAUGACUUCUUUAAUUAAUUACAUUGAUUGUGAUUAAGAAGAUGUUAGUAUAAAUACUCAUAGAUUGUAACACUCUGCAGUUAAGAAAAAUAACAAACUCUGUUCACGAUUAUUUUCAGAAUCCUGC